GGAAGAUGAGGAUGAUGAUUGAAGCUAUUUUGCUUCCAACACUCAGUUUUUGUACUAAUUUUCCAUCCGACAAGGGUUGAGUGAACAUAUGUGUUUUUUGCUGUAUUUUCUGUUACCUAGUUUGGUCACGCAGUUUGCUGAAACUCAACUCUGCUGGUAGUCAGUGGCAUCCACUUGUUUACAUAACUUGAAUGAACUUGUAUAUGUAAUAUGAUGAUACGUAAUAUAUAUAUAUAUGGUAUGUCUUUUAUCUGACUUCAGAUCUUUGUUGAUUCUUAUCUGCACUCUGAAUGCAAGGAAUAGUCGUUGAUCAAAGGAGCUUGAGUAGUUUGAAUGUUGGCUUAUAUAACACAGGCACCUGAGGUGCGCGUUAAACCAAGAUUUUUCUACCUAAAAUUUAAUUGGCUAAACAACAAAUGGACAGACUCCCUGGAUAUAAAAGUGAUAAGCAGAAGCACGAGAUCUUGGAAAAACAAGUAAAAUUCUGCGCUAAGCAUGGGUGUAUUUUUACUGGCCAUAACCAACAAACUCUUUUAGUUUUUAUGGUCAAAAGUUUAAUUGGCUAAACAACAUGACCUGAUACAGACUCUAUCCGUGUUUAAUUCAUAUAUUCAACAUCAGUAAUCCCUCUUGCAAAGUAGGGAAUAUAUGUCAGCUGUCAACAUUAAACGUUGAAAAAGUUAAAAGAAAGGCAAUAACCUCUCAACUAUAAAAUGCCGUCUGUUAAUCAGUACACCUCAAAUCUCAAUUUUUACUUAGGAUUCAAUUGUAUAAUGACCAAGGAUAGUGAAUGAGAACUUGCAACGUAUGCACUAUAUUACAUUUUAUACUAGCUUUCUUCUCAUGAAAAUAAAUGCUUGAUAAUAAACCUGCACUAAAAUAUAAUAUCUCUAAGUUUCAUGAACCAGAAAUGAAAGACAAAGCAACCUAAAGCCUGGAGAAGUUGAAAGUUUACUUCACAGAUGAUGAUUUUAAGCAAUUUGUCGAGCAGUAGCGAGGUGCCAAUGUGUCCACUGAACAAGAAUCAGGAAAAAAUUAAACACUUAAAUUGAAAACUAGGGAGUGUAAGAUAGUCUUAUCUAAAAGCAAGCACCAGCUACCAGCAUAUUCUCUUGGGUAUCUGAGUUUGGCAUUGGCAUGCUGGGUAUCAGCUCCAAAAACUUCCCCUUGAAUCUUCCUGUUGGUUCUUGACAAAAGAAACUUAGGGAAACAAACAGGGGAAAAUAAUAGGAAAAUAAAAGCUGUAUACUGGAAUAGAUGUAAAAGGAACUCUAACUGAAAAUUAUAUUUUAUUUCAUUGCAUUUGGACUUCAAUUUAUAAGAGGAAAAUGAUAGGAAAAUAAAAGCAGUGUACGGGAAUAGAUGUAAAAGGAAUUCUAACUGAAAAUUAUAUUUUAUUUCACUGCAUCUUGACUUCAAUUUAUAAGAAAAAUAUUAACUUAAAAGAUCUAAAAAUUCGCACAAAAUCUGAUGAAAUUAACAAACUCCUAGAGACUAGUUCACUCAUAAAGACUAGUUCAAAAUUAUUUAAAAUUCAAACUAAAUUACUGCAGUAAAUAACUCUUAAGUUGAAACAGUAAAAUAAUUUUAUUGAGAGCAGCUUCUAAAGCAUAUUUCUAACACUCCUCCUUACUUUUGAAGCUGCAAAUUUUGAAUUUAUGCCUUGUAAACCUUUAACUGGAAUCGACUUUGUACGUAAAUCUGCCAACUGAUCUUGCAGUAAAUCGAGUUCACUUUUCUAUUUUGCUGCAUCUCAUGAUUGUCAAUGAAAUAAGUUGGCUCUUUUUUCGGCUUCAUUUGCAUCUUGCGUUGAGACUUGUCAACUUUCUUCCAUAUUUGCAUUUUUCCUUGAGGCUUGUUAACUUUCUUCCCGAUUUUAUUUUUUUUGAAAUAUUGACAACUUCUUCUUUGCCUCAUUUUCACAUAUGUCCUCAAUUGGAGGAUUAUCUGCCCUUUGUAGAUUUUUUGGCUCCAUUUUUCUUCUUCUGUUGGAUCAAAUGAGAAGUUUUUACUUCUAUUUUUAACCCUUAAAAUCUCAAGUCCAGUUGCAUCAUAAAUAAAAUAAUAUUUAUCUUCAAAGAAUACUUUAAAUCCUUUUUCUAUUAGUUGCCCAACACUCAAUAAAUUUUGAUCAAUACCAGGAACAUAAAGAACAUCUGAAAUUUUCUUAGUACCUGAAUUUGUUGAGAUUGCAAUAAUUCCUUUUCCUUUAGCAAGAAUAUAAUUACCAUUCCUAAUUCUGAUUUUCUUAUUUUCCAUAGACGUGAACUCUUUGAAAAGAUUUUUGCCAUAUGUCUUGUGGUUUGUACAACCACUAUCAAUCAACCAAAAAUCAUAUUUCUUGGUUGAAAGAACAGUUGCCACAAACAAGUGAUCUUUUUCUUCUUCAUUGGUGACUUGAGCAUCUGCUUCAUACUUUUGAUAUUUGCCUUUGCAAAUUAUAGCUCCAUGACCAAGUUGGUUGCAAAUUUUAUACUUUGUAUCUGGCCUCUUCCAACAUUUGAAUGGUGGAUGACUUUUUUUGCUAUGGUGCUGACAAGGUGGGUAAUUUUUCUUUGCAUUAUUACAGUUGCUUUGAGUUUUGUGGUUGGCUAUCAAGGCUUCUUCAACCAUACCAUCUUGCCUCGUAAGCCUCCUUUGCUCUCAUGCCUGCAAUGUAUUUAACAAUUCUGCCAAGGUAAUCUUGGAUAGAUCCUUUAUAUUUUCCAAGGUAGUUAUGGAUACUUCAUAUUUUCAGGCACCGUAACAAAAAAAA
This 2755-nucleotide long non-coding RNA is filed under the name Nicotiana tabacum (common tobacco). Its description in RNAcentral is "long non-coding RNA (NTAB_LNC013346)". The record is from RNAcentral. Lineage: Eukaryota; Viridiplantae; Streptophyta; Magnoliopsida; Solanales; Solanaceae.